Leopardus geoffroyi (Geoffroy's cat) is the source of this 36923-nucleotide long non-coding RNA. RefSeq lists it as uncharacterized. The record is from RefSeq and is a predicted model, not a curated record. Lineage: Eukaryota; Metazoa; Chordata; Mammalia; Carnivora; Felidae. The transcript is spliced from 2 exons.
UUUUUUUUUUUUUUUUUAAGAUACCAUAGGAUUCCAGUGGGCAGCCGGGGUUGAGGACACUUGUCGGGAAGCGUGUAUCAGGUGUAUGAUCUCUGUCCUCUUUGUUCAUCUAUGGCACGGACAGCUGUUUUUGGUUUCUUCCUGCUGUGUUUCCUUUGGCUUUUCCAACUAACUUUAACAGCUAAGAAGCCAAUAACAAGCACGUUUGCCAAAAACGCAGCAAUGCCAGUUGUCAGAAAAGAUUCAGGGGCGUCUGGGUGGCUCAGUCGGUUGAGCAUCUGACUUCAGCCCAGGUCAUGAUCUCCUGAUUCACAAGCUUGAACCCCACGUGGGGCUCUGUGCUGGCAGCUCAGAGCCUGGAGCCUUCUUGGGAUCCUGUGUCUCCCUCUCUCCCUGCCCUUCCCCAGUUCGUGCUCGCUCAUGCUCUGUAUCUCUAAAAAACAUUAAACAUUUUUGUUAUUCAAAAGUUGAAAAAAGCCUGACAGGGAUUCGUUUUGGCAAGGGGAUUCCUGUGCUUUGAGAGAAGUCGGAUAGAGAAUCUCUAAUAUCCUGAGCUCCUAGUGAUGAGGCUUUGGGCAGUGAGGCAAAAUGAUAGACAUCCACGUUAGCCCUGUGUUGUGUUUUUUUUUUUUUUUUUCCUGUGUUCUUCAUGAUGAAGGCAAGUAUCUUGAAUUUAAACUGUUUCAGUUCUGUAGGUUGGCCCUUUUCCUGUGUAACCAAUUCACUUGGGUCAAAUAAAUCAUACUGAUUUUUUUUCUUCAAAAUUAGAUACAGUUCUACCACAACUCCUUUGUGUACAUUCACCAUAAGAUAGAUGUAUGCGUGUGGGUACAGGCUGUAUUCUGUAUAACUCAUGCACUGAUUUUUUUUAAGUUUAUUUUGAGACAACGCAAGUGGGGGAGGGGCAGAAAGCAAGAGGGAUAGAGCCUGAUGCAGAGUUCGAACCCCCCAAAGCCGUGAGAUCAUGACCGGAGCCAAAACCAAGAGUCGGACGCUUAACCCUCUGAGCCAACCAACUGAGUGCCCUGUGCGCGGAUUUAUUCUUGGAUACCUAUAGAAUUGACAAAAAAAUCCACAAAUCUUACUAGCACUUCUUUCUACGUGGCGAAUGAACGUGAGCCUAUUUUUAUCAAGUCUACGAUGUUGGGGGUGCAGUGCCUUAUGACUUAGGUUUAGAACUUAGGAAAGAAGUGGUGUCAAUCAAGGGCAGCUUAAGCUGGUCCCUUGUGUCUUUCCAGGGGGCUUUCCUUUUAUUAAAUUAAUCUUCGAACCUCCACUGCACUGCCAGACUUGGCUUUUGUUAAGAAAACAAGAUCCAGCUGGAGCUGUGGCCUGGAAACUUAAAAGCAGCCUCAUAGAGGCUGCACCCCCACCCCCCGACCACCGGUGACCCCGUGAGUCUCUCUCUCCCUACGUGUGCAUUUGCCUAAGUGUAUAGUUUGUGCUCCUGCCUUUCUCUCUCCGACUCCGCCAUCCCUUUCCCAUCUGUGUCCGGAUCCGGGAGGGCCAUACCUUCCCAGGCACCCCUGCUCCCUUGCAAACACAAGUCUGCACGAAGACCUUUUGGAGAAGACACUGGGGCAUUGGAUUUUUUAUACGUGAACCAGCUGGCUCUUGGACUUCCCACCGGGAUUUCUCUUGGUCCCGUGUAUAGGGGGGCAUCCACACACCUGGCAUGGAGUUCGGAGAGAAAAGGGGGGGGGGUAGGAAGUGGUCAGAAAACCGGGGGUCCGCAAACCCAGUCUGCAGGCGUGCUGGCAUCUUUGCUUCAGAAGAUGGCAGGUCUCUGGGGAAGAUGCACUCUGGGUGAGACCUGCACAAAGUUUCAAACGGGUGCACUUCACCUCCUCAAUGCGUUGGAGGUGACCCUUCCUCUGAUUGGCACGCAAAUGCAUUGGUAGGAACUACAGGUGGAAGAAGGGUGGGCCAGCGGGGAGUGGCAGGGUCAAAGCCACAGCCUGGCUCUGCUCACAGCUGGUCACUGUGUGUUGGGGGGGAGGGGGGUGGCAAAAGCGAUCUAAUCCCAUAUUGAAUCAGAAGCGAGAUAAAAGAAGAAAGAAGUGGCUUUUAGUCUUAGGCCUCUGUUCCCUUACGGUCUUGCUACAUUUGUUUGUUGGCUUAGUCCUAAAUACCGAGGGUUUCGGCGAGUGUUAGACAUCUUCCCAUUUAAAAUAACACUAUUUGUAACGCCCUGCUUGCUAACAAAAACAUUUACUGACUAAUCUUUUCCUGAAUGUCGAGUGUCAUAUGGAGCCCGUGUCGUAGGUGGUGGAAAAAGCUACUUUAGAAACAACUGUCUGAAUGGCACGGCCAUUUCUGGAAAAGAGUUGGACUUUUUUUUUUUUUUUUUUUUUUUAUAAAGUUAAGUAUUUACCCAAGUGAGACGAAAGCUUAUGUCCACACAAAAAUGCGUAUGCAAAUAUUUACAGUGGCUUUUGUUUUGUAAUUGCCAAAAACUGGAAACCAGCCAAAUGCCUUGCAUCUGGGAGUUGUGCACGGCCACGGUGCAUCCCGAUCAUGGAGUACUACUCAGCGAUAAACAGGAAGGAACUGCUCAGACAUGUGAGAACGUGAACAGCUUUCAAACGCAUCAUGCUAAGUGGAAAAGGCCAAAUACAAAAAGGCUGUGACCUCCUGUGUGAUUUUUUAGGUGACAUUCUUGCCGAGGAAGAGUUACAGGAACAGGAAACAGAUCAAUGGUUGCCUAGGGCUGGAGGGGUUUCGGGGACAGGAUUGGGGGGGGGGGGAUGGAACUGUUCUAGAUCUUGAUGGGUUACUGAAUACACAUGUACCAAAUGUUGCAGCACCAUACGCUUAAAAAAGUGAAUUUUAGGGUGCUUGGGUGGCUCAGUUAAGCAUCUGACUUUUGAUCUCUGCUCGGGUCCUAAUCUCAGGGUCGUGAGUUCAAGCCCCAUGUUGGGCUCUGCACUGAGCAUGAAGCCUACUCAAAACGUGGGUGCCUGGGUGGCUCAGUUGGUUGAGUGUCUGACUCUUGAUUUCAGCUCAGGUCAUGAUCUCAUGGUCAUGGGGUCGGGGCAUGGAGCCUGCAUCUGUGUCUCUACCUCUCCCCUUCUCUUGCUCUCAAAAAAAAAAAAAAAAGGUGAAUGUUACUAUGUGAUUCAUGUGUGUGUGUAUAUAUAUAUAUAUAUAUGAAUAACGGCGUGGGGAGAUGAAAUCCCCUGUGUAAGAUGGGGGGGGGGGGGGGGCUUUUACCCAGUAUUGCCAAUGUAAGGCAUCAGAACUGUGGUGGCCAGAGUAGAUUGGGUCCAGUCUUCUAGAUGAUUACCUCUGGCCACUUAGGACUUGAUGAAUGAUUGGAAGGGCAUCAGGACAUCCAGACGCAGGCACACCAGAAAAGCCGGAACUAUGCAAUUAGGUAUGGCCUGGGCAAAACUCGGCCAAACUCGGAGGCCUCUGGUCUCGUUCCCGUUCUCUUUGCCUUCAAAUUCUGUCUUUUGUCCAUGUGGAUCAUCUUGUGCUGGCCCACAUUAGAUAUUCAUUCCUACUACGAGAGUUAUCAUUUGAAUUGCCCUGUAAUGCGUUCGGUUGCCCCUUUGUGGUUCUGCGUGGACUUUGUGGAUUGGUGUGGGUUAGUUGGCGAGGGCUGCUGGUCCCACAGAUGAGGUCAUUUCUCAUUUCUCAAAGCUAGAAGUCCGAGAUGAGGGCGUCCUCGGGGUGAUGUGAGGGAGAAUCUGUCCCUUGCCUCUCCCGUAGCUUCUGGGGGUUCGUGGCAGUCUUUGACAUUCCUGAGCUCCUGCCACAUCACCCCAAUCUCUGCCUUCAUCUUCGCACGGCUUUCUCCCUGUCUGUGCACCUGUGUCCUAAUUUUCUCUUUUUAUACGGGCAGCAAUAUGUAAUGGGUUAGGGGCUCACCUUACUCCGGUAUGGCCUCAUGUUAAUCAUAUCUGCAGUGACCCCCCUUUCCAAGGUCACAUUUGGAGAUACUGGGAGUUAGGAUGGUCUCGCCUCACCCCAAAUUUGGCAAACACACAGGUGCCCACAAGACUUAUGUAUCAAAGCUAAACACCUUGUCCAGGCUGCAGCGAAAUAGAGAUGAUCCCUAUACUUUUAUUUCCUGAAAGCUACAUCCAGAAGCAGGCUUUUUGAUUGAACCUUUUCUUCCAGAAUAGAGCCUAGAACUUCGAAGGUACGUUUUCACGGAAUUUAUGCAUGGAACUCAACGAAAAUACCGUAUGCAAGGACGUUGGUGAAACCUAUUAGCCGUUUUGGCCCAAUUCUUAACAAGCGCUCCCUGGGCAGUGGCCUUCCUCCCAUGAUGUUUUCAACACAGGCCCCAUUUCUCAAACGCACGGCGUUACUAAAUCGCUUCCCGUAAGUGUGGUUUAUUGAGAAGAUAGUCCGUGGGCUGACUAUCAGCUUCGAUUUCAAAUCAUCAGUGGCCCUCAACUAACGUUCUGGAAGGAUUGAAGCGGUCUCACCUGACAUUAAUCAGGUCGCAGGGGCGGCCCUGGUGUGAACCAGGGAAGACUAAACUGAGGUCAUUCAGAAGUUGCUAGGCCAGUGUGCAGCUUUUCGAAGCCAGUUGUACAGAUGGAGCAUGAGCCCACCUGAGGGGAGGGGGAAGGUGUGAAGGAGCAGAAGAACCUUAGGAUAGCAUUUACUCUGAAGAUUGCAGCCCUCAUUCAUUCAGCAAAAAGUACAUUUAACACCCAUGCUGUGCGACGUGAGUUUCAGGUAUACAACCAGGUGACUCAACGACUCUGCACAUCAUGCGAAAUUUCAGGCAUUCUCUGUCCUCAGGAUGCUCACACUGGACUGGGGAAGCCAAGCAUUGACACUAGAAUGACCUUCUAUAGUGAAUGGAAUAAUGAAGUGUAGACAAAGUUCUGUAGGGUUUCCAAUGUCUAUGGAAGUUACUCCAGUUUGCGGUAACCCUAGUAAGCCAUAAUUUCAUUUCUGCCUGGAAAGUGGGGACACUUGGGUUUAAAAGAACUCUGGAAAGUUCCCCGAUUCUCCCCCCCCUCCCUGUUUUGACUACAGUGUGUCAGUUAAAAUGAGAACAGAAGAGCAGUAAACAUGUUACGGAGACUGUGGGUCAAAAGUUAGGGUUGGGGGGCUGUGUUGGAGUUUCCCCAGAUAAACAGAACCAAUAAGAUCUAUAUCUGGACGGAACUUGAUUUCAAGGGAUGGACUCCUGCAGUCGUGGGGCCAGAAAGUCUGAAAUCUGUAAGGCAGGCCUGCGGGCUGGAAUUUUGGGUAAGAGUUGCUGUAGCAAUCUCAAAUCUGACGGCUGGAUGCUUAGGCAGAUUUUCUGUGUUGUGGUCUGCAGGCAAAUUGCUCUUUUUGGAACCCUAUGUCUUGGCUCGUAAGAUCUUCACAUAGAAGAGGCUCCCCCUCAUUACGAGGGGUAAUCUGCUUUAUUCAGAGUCUCCAGAGUCCAAUGCUAAUCACAUCUAGAAAGUAACUUUACAGGCACAUCUAGAUGAAGUGUUUGACCAACCCACCCGUUGGCGUAGUCUAAGUUGACACGCAAAAUUGACCGUUUCGGGGACAUACGUCGGUAUAGUCUUCACGCUCCUCAGGACUUUGCAUCGUGAACGAAGCACCAAUGUUCGAAGAGUUAAUAGUUGAUUUUCUUGAACCUUGUGCCGGGAUUCGGCUUCUGCUUCCUGCUACACACAAGGCUGUCUCAAGAACUAUAGCUCACCCUGCUUAUCUGUAUUUGCUGAAGUUUGAAAGUAAAGUUAAUCCAGCCAAGCUUGCCCAAGCAAUAUAAAUUAUCUUGACUGAUUUACAUAUUUUGACAUUCCACAUAAAGUAGGGUUUUUUUUUUCCCCUAAACAAUGUGUUACCAAGUCAUGAUCGAGAACAUGAAGAGAAAGGAAAAAAUUGCUGUAUAGUCAUUUUUCUUCCUUGAAGUAUUUCAUUUGGAAACAUGGUCAAAACAGUCCGUGACAAGGUCUGUGUGGUGCCAUUUCAUGUGGGUUUCAUUAUGUUAAAAAAAAAAAACAAAAAACACCCAAAUCACCCAUACGAUAUUAUUUUAGUAUCUCAAAAAAUCGAACUGUGAUAACAGGAAGUUCGGGACCUCUUUUUAUUUAGUCUCCCUAUAACAACAAUUGGUUCCAGCUUCACAGGGCAAAGGAAACAAAAUUUGUGACACCUACAAUAACACUGGCUUGGCUGGAUUAAACUCAACAGCAAGCUGAUCAGGGAAUUGAUUUGAGGCUACAAGACAUUUUUUAAAAACACUCCCUCACUGUUACGGGUUUUCAUGGUUUAUUUCUCUUUAUGCUCCAUGACUAUGAAAAUGCUAGUGAACUCCAAGGUGAUGCCAGGCAAUAUGUUCUUCUCAUUUUUGUUUUCUUCCCCCAGCGACCACCUCUACCAAAACAAGCACCACGAAGAUCCAUGUUGGUGCCCGGCUUAGAUUGUUCUGGAGAGUAGGCAGGGUGUUGCUAGGUUUCUCCAGUGACUGAAGACUAGACCCUCCGGUAGGCUAAAGGCUAAGCUCUGUCCAGUGUCUGGACAACACUGAAAACUGGCUCAGAUUGCUGGGCCCCUCCCCCAGAGUUUGAUUCAGUAGGUCUGGAGUGGGGCCUUAGAAAAUGACAUUUCCAGCAAAUUCCCAAGUCCGGAUCAUACGUUGAGAAUCACUCUUCUGUGUGUCAGAGAUAAACUAGAAUAAAUCAGUCUUGUUAUAAGAUGCAGAUAUUUCUACCAAUUGUCCACAUCCUCUGUUCCUUUAGUAUUUAGUGGGACUACUGUACAGAUAAAGGAAAAACCCCAUUAUAGGCCAUGUAAUCUGUUUUCUGAAUUUUUUUUUAUUUUUGAGAGAUUGCAUGCAAGCAGAGGAAGGGCAGAGAGAGAGGGAGACCCAGAAUCUGAAGCAGCCUCCAGGUUCUGAGCUGUCGAUGCAGAGCCCGACGUGGGGCUCGAACCCACGAACUGUGAGAUCAUGACCUGAGCCAAAGUCGGACGCUUAACUGAGCCAGCCAGGCACCCCUAUAAUCUAUUUCAAAAAACACACACAAGAGUCACGUCAUAAUGCAGCAAAACAAUAUAUGAUGUGCCAAACAUCUCAGCCUUUCCUUAUGCCCUUAGCAAGCCCACCUCUAAAAGGAAAGAAGUUCAUCUUGGGCUUGCUCCACUUUUGAGCAAAAACAGAAAAACAUGUUUUACUUUGGGGGGGCUGAUGACUAUUACUCUAAUCAGAAGCGGUAGGGUGAAUUUCUGAGGCAAGCUCCUGCAUUCCAACCCAGCGGUCAUUUACCCCCUCGGAUGGAGCAUGAAAUCGAAGCAAUAUGCGCCCCCCCCCCCCCCCCCCCCCCCCCCCCCCCCCCCGCUGAAGGACCCACUCUGUUGGAUCUGGGCCCAAGGCACUGCUGGGGACCACAUGAAUGACGGAGGCCCCGAUGCCUCAGUUGUCAUCCUGGUUGGUGGGCGGCCGUGGGGCAUCCAGCUCUCUCGGAGCCCCUGUGCUGGGAUUCUGCCCUGAUUCUUCUGCCCAGCAGAGGUUCUGCCCUGUGUCCUUCCGGGAGGCCUCCCACAGCACUUUACAUGAAGGCAGUUUCCUUUUCAUAUUCUGGGAGGUCAUUGUCCUGGCCACGUCACACAGGACUCUUCCUCCUUGGCUGUGAUCUCGGGGUCCCUGCCCGAGCAACUAUAUUUGCUCAUGGCUAUUUGGGGCUCAAGUCAAAUCCAAGAGAAUCUAUGCUGAGCGCUUGCAGAAGCCAGAAAUGUUAGAGCGGGCAGAUCCGGGACCAGAGGCACCUUCCUUAAGCGUCAUUGUGCGUCCCUGAUCAGAAACUCACUGCGGAUGGUGUUAAGUUCUGUCUCAGAAGCCUGACUUUCCAAAGCCCUCCCCACCCGGCACGUAGCCUGUUUCAGGGAGCGGCUCUGCUUGGACUCACGUAACGUUUCGUCCCUCCUUGGUGAGGGCUCGUGUCCCCCUGGCAGACUCCGUGGUUCACGCCAGAUUGUGGUGAUGGUGGGCACACAGCUUCCUACUUCAGUUUUCCGGGCACGUAAACCAGGUGUUGCCCGGCUUCUAGAAGACGAGCUUCUGGCCUUUUCAGUUUAGCAAUCUCCUUAGUUCUCGUGGUCAAGAGAGGGAGAAAUCGGAAGGCUUACGUUACUAAAGGUUCUCUCGAAACCCUUCUGAGAAGAAAAUAGUCCAUUGGUUAGUAUUGUGGAGGGCAGCCAGGGAAAAGAGCUCAGGAGACUCCUCACAGACAUUCUGUGCUAGUUCCCUCCAAGAAGUCUUUUGGGGGAGCGGAGGAAGGCUGUUUGUGUCCAGUCACACCUCUGUUGCAAUACGCACCCACCUCUCUGGCUGUACCGUUUCACUUGCACAGCCUGGCAGUAAUCAGUCAUUGGACAGAGUAGAGGCAGAAUUCGGGGUCAGAUCUCUUUGUAAACCAACCGAACAGCUGUGUGCCGGUGGCACCGGGACAGCGAAGCAGAAUUGAACGUUUAUUCCGCAGCAAAAUCUUGGCCUUUUGUUUCUACCACAUCAUUGGAGAUGUCAGGACUGGGAGGUGUUAUGGACUGAUUGUGUCUGCCCCACACCCCCAAAAUUCAUGUGUUGAAGCCCAACCCCCCCCCCCCCCACAUGACUGUAUUUGGAGACAGGGUCUUCAUGGGGGAUAAUUAAGGUUACGUGAAGUCCUAAAGGUGAAGUUCUGAUCGGCGGGAUUACUGUCUUUGUGGGAAGAGACCCCAGAGAGCUCAGUUGUGUGUGCUCGCUCUGCCCUCGUGGGCACAAAGAAAAGCCAUGCGAGGACACACAUGGCUGCAUCUGUAGCCCACGGCCAGACUCCUCACUGGACACCAACCCAGCCGGCUCCCUAUCUUGGACUUGCAGAAAAUAAAUCUGUUGUUUAAGCCACCCAGCCCGUGGUAUUUUGUUGUGGCUGCCUGAGCUGAUGAAUUCAGGAAGGGUCAGGCUUGGAAAGUGCUGGAAGGACCCCUGUAGAGACCCACUUCGGCCCCCACAAGGAAUUUUCUUUCCUGCGGUUCUGUUCCUGGAUGAAUUCAGAUUUCAAAAAUUAGAAAAAUAGCCACGACAGCAGUAUUUUUGUAGCCUGUGAAUAAAUAGACAAAAUUAAAACUUCAAAACAAGUUAUGCAUUUUUGAAAACCGUGCAAUUUAAAAAUAGCAUCAGGGAAGGGAUGUCUUGCAUCCGUGUUCUGGUGCAUGAAAUACGAGUCUCCUGCUCAAACCUAGAGUGAGUGGGGUCUGCUUUAAAUCUGCACAUUAUGGGGGCGCCUGGGUGGCGCAGUCGGUUAGGCGUCCGACUUCAGCCAGGUCACGAUCUCGCGGUCCGUGAGUUCGAGCCCCGCGUCGGGCUCUGGGCUGAUGGCUCAGAGCCUGGAGCCUGUUUCCGAUUCUGUGUCUCCCUUUCUCUCUCUGCCCCUCCCCCAUUCAUGCUCUGUCUCUCUCUGUCCCAAAAAUAAAUAAACGUUGAAAAAAAAAAAUUUAAAUCUGCACAUUAUGGACAAUGACUUUUAUUCGUGUCGGAACAGAGUUUUGUUGUGCAGAGUCGCAUUGUUGGCCGAUCUUACAGUUCAGACCGUUCUAGGCAGAACAUAGGACCUCAGCCCUGGAAAACACGCCAAGGAAGGACAUUGGUUACCAACAGAGGCCUUAGUCACCAGCAGAAUCACUAUAUUAUCACAGGAUCCACUUAGCAGCUUAGAAUGGUCUGAGGGAAGGGGUUCCGGGGGGCGGGGCUCAGUCAGAUGGGUGUCUGACUCUUGAUUUCAGCUCAGGUCGUAAUCCCAGGGUCAUGAGAUCGAGUCCCCAGUCAGGCUCCUUGCUGAGUGUGUGGAGGCUGCUUAGGAUUCUCUCUCUGCCCCCGUCCCUUGCUCACGUGUGUGCUGUCUCUCUCAAAGAAAAAUAAAUGAUGGUCAGAAGGUGAAAUCCAGGGAACAAAGAGUGUCCUUUUGCUUCCCUAUCUCUUCCUACGUUCGUUUUCCAUCAGCUAACUGAAGUGUCUCCGUGUCCUCCAAGAGUCACAGGAGCGAGGGAGGUCUCACGAGAUAAAGGAGCAGAUGCGAGAACCUGCGUCUGAUUAUCUCUCUCGGUAAAGGCAGAAUGGCUGUUCGUGUUACAGAUAGGAAACAGUUUGCGAUGUGACUUGUGGCGGUCAUGUGGUAGGCCUCGGAAGCUUGUCUUAAAAAGAAGAAGAAUCCGUUUAGUUUAUCUUAAUUGCUCAUUUCACCACGACUUUCAUCUUUAAUGUCUUAGGCUUUAUGGAUUUUUUUUUUUUGGUAGCUAGACAUUCCAGGAAGCAUCCAUCAUUUUCCCGUCCCUCCCCCCCCACCAACUUGGAGGAAAAACGUGGUGGGGAGCGAUAUUUCUUAAGAGACAACUGUUACCCAGUCGUCGUGUCACUGGUGGUGUUUCUUACUAAGGGAACUUAGGGAUCUUACUAAUAUGUUCAGAUAAGAUUAGCAUCAGCAAGUCGGAUCUUUGGCAGUGCGCAGAAGAGCAGAAAGUUCUUUCUCAGCAUCAUCGUCGGGCAUUUCUUGCCUACUUUGUUAGGGGGCUUUUUUCAAACACGUGUCUGAAGAGCCCGUACUUGAGGAUUUUACGGACUCUCUAAAGUUACGGUCGUUGAAGGAUGGUACUUCCGCCCUUUUAGGUGAAUCUUCUAUGUUUUUGCUUAAAUCUUACAGCGUUUCUGAAGACAAGUUUAAUUAGGGAAUACUUGGAGGUUAUGCACGUGAGCCGGAAGCAGACACGUUCAGUAUUAAAGUGUUCCCCUGCUCCCCCUACCCCACCCCAGAAAUUUGUCCUCAAGGUGGUCGUAAGAGUCCAAUGAAUAGUUGUUUAUAACGGAAACAGAUGCAUUAUGAGUGGUCCCGGAAGAGGCGUUUUGUGCUACCGUGUAAGAGGGAAAGCUAUACCCUGUGGGUGAAAUGAUUGGCUGAUUCGAUUUGCUGUCGCUGGAGCCCCUUGUUGUGGGUCCUGGCAUUUCGCUAUCAAAGUCCUCUUGGGUGUGUUCUUUCAGGGAGUACAGUAGAGCCUCCUGUGGUCUGGACGGUGCCUCCUGGAGUGGCGAGGCCAGAGGUGGUGACUCAGGAGUCGUGGGGGGAGUGAUGACCGGAGACGGGGUGGGGUGCUGUGGACAGGAGUCCUGAAGUAGACUGAAAAGUUCUGCCUUCGACUAGCUUUUUUUAAGUUUGAGAGAGACCAAGAGAGUGCAAGCAGGGGAGGGGCAGAGAGAGAGGAGAGGGAGAGUCCCAAGCCGGCUACACAUGGUCAGUGCACAGAGCCCGACGUGAGGCUUGAACCCACGAAACCAUGAGAUCAUGACCUGAGCCGAAAUUAAGAGUGGGACGCUUAACCGACUGAGCCACCCAGGCACGCCUUAGAGUAUCUUAGGCGUUCAGUUGGGCUUCGCAUAUGACUUUGGGGAGAAAACAGUUUGAAAACUCAACAGGGUGCUUAAGAAUCUAACAGGAUACUUGUGCUGUUUAAAACAAAAAAGUUGACAACUCAUCUUGCCCUCUUUGCCGCAGGGGUCUGGGUUUGUCCUUCUUGUGCAGGCAGGGCUGGCUUCAUGGCCACAUGGCCUCUGCAAAUGCCCAGGACCCCGUGCUCAGAAGGGCCCUGCAUAUAGUUUAAUGCCCUUCUGUCACCAUUUUGAGAAGUUUUUGUAAUUUUUGAACAAGGACCCCACAUGUUGUUUUUAGAGAGAAGGAAAGGGGCGGAGGCAGGGGACGUGGGGCGGUAGAGAGAGAGAGAGAAUAUGAGAAUGAAUAUCUUAAGCAGUUUCCACACUCAGAGCCUGACUGGGACUCAAUCCCACGACCCUGGCAUCAUGACCUGAGCUGAAAUCAAGAGAAGAUCAACAACUGACUGAGCCCCCCCUCCAGGCGCCCCAUGGGCCCCACAUUUGCAGCUCGUGCUGGGUCAGACAGAUUAUGUAGUUGGCCUGCCUAUACGGUCUCAGCCUAACCCUGAUUUCGGGCCCUGAAGUCUUCGUGCUCUAGUCUGGCUCAGGUCUGGGGCAUAGAGUGUGUCCUAAAUCCUGCAGCCCCGUCUGCUGUGAAGCAGCCCUUGACAGAAUUUGUCAGCUAUUCUCCUUGGGGCUGGAUCCCUUGUCCUCAGCCUGUGCCAUUGGCUGGGAUCCUGUUCCUGUUUUGAACAAAGCAGACAGACUUCCUGGAAAUCUGACCUACCUCUUCGUUUUUCUUUUCUUUUUUUUUUAAACGUUUAUUUUUGAGAGCACAAACAGAGGAGGGGGCAGUGAGAGAGGGAGACACAGAAUCCGAAGUAGGUUCCAGGCUCUGAGCUGUCAGCCCAGAGCCCGACAUGGGGCUCAAGCCCACGAACUGUGAGAUGGUGACCCGAGCCAAAGUGAGACACUCAACCGACUGAGCCACCCAGGCGCCCCAAUCUGACAUACCUCUUACCUGACAAAGUCCCGACCUCAGCCCCCCUCUUGCUUACUCCCCUCCCCCUUCCCUGCAUUUUGACAGGCUGAGUCUCCCCGAGAAGGCCACCACCUGAACCAAACACGUAGAGCCUUGCUUCUCCUCCCAUUGGAUCUCCCUAGCCCCUGACCUGGCUCCCCCUUCUCUGUAGAGGCCUGUCAGCCAGCCCUGUCGUGAACAUGGGAACAAAGCCAAUUUUUCAGUUCUGUUGCAGUGGUCAUGCUGGAUUAUUGAAGCCAUCACGUUUGCUGGUUUCAGCUGGGAUUCAUGUGACCGACACCCGAAUACGUGUUUUGAAGUCCACUUGUGAUCUGCCUUUAAAUCACUUCUAGGUCCGUUCUUUGUGUCCUACUUUCAGCACCACGGACCUAGCCCAGGUCUUUAUCACUUUGUUCUUGGUUUCUUGAAGGCAAGGGCUUUCUGAAGUUGUCUCUGGUUUCUCCUCCAUCAACCUCAUACGGCCUCAGCAUUCAUUGGCCGUCGUUCCAGCUACAGGAUUUGAACAUGCUCCCCAUGCAGGAAGCUGAGUGCUAUGGAGGAAGCACGUUGUCAUGAUAUAGUCGUUGAGACUGUUGGUGAAAUAAAAGACAGCUAAUAAUAGCUACAGAGGAAGUGCUGGAAGCAUUGUCCUAUAUAAUGAGAAAAUUUGAAAUGAGCCAGAUAUAUAUCAUUGUGUAGAGAUGGUUAAAUCAUGAUCGAUCUGUACCAAUGAAUACUAUGCAGCCAUUUCAAGUACUCAGUGUCUGCAGAAGAAAUAGCAUUGACUGGGGAUUGGGGGCAGAAAACGUGAACAGGUCUCAGUCAGUGAAGAAGGAAUUAGAGUUCCUGGAGCGAAGAAACCACUGGCUCACAUGGAAAGUUCCAGAAGGUGGGGUAAGCAGGCGUGUGCCAACACCAAACCUGGUUGGAUGGUCCUCUCAGAGCAUUCCAACUACAAGAGCCAUUCAGGGAAACCAUCUUUCUAAUAAUUAGCAGGUCAGGUCUUCAUUUACUCUGAAUUCUUAGAACACUUGCCUUCUGAAAACAUUUUAAAUUACAAGUACAAAGUCAUCUAAAAUUCAAACUUUUUAUAGAAAGGCAUAAUGGAAAAGGUUAAAUUCCCCUGGAUCCUACCCAGUAGAGACUAUGAUUCACUUGCUUUAACUUUAUAUUCUCUUUUUAAUGCUUAUUUUUAACAGAGACUGAGCAUAAGAGGGGGAGGGGCAGAGAGAGAGAGGGAGACACAGAAUCCGAAGCAGGCUCCAGGCUCUGAGCUGUCAGCACGGAGCCCGACGCAGGUUUCGAACUCACGAAUGGCAAGAUCAUGACCUGAGCCGAAGUCAGACACUGAACCAACUGAGCCACCCAGGCGCCCCUUAACUUUAUAUUUUCAAUGCACAAAGGGAGGUAAUUUAUAAAUACAAAAAUGAGUUACUGUGUGCAUACACCCUGUAUUCUUUUCACUUGCUAUAUACGUUUUCCCACAUCAGUACACACACUGAGCUACCACCGAUUUGGAGUUAUGGUCAUGAACAGUCUUGUACCUUGUGCAGCUGGUGCACACGUCUUACCAACUCCUCACUCUUAAACCUUUUUAUUGAUGAGAAUUGUCUUCUAAUCUCAGAAGCAUGAGAAUUCUGUGUACCUAGUAGGCGUUCAGCAGAGACUCAGUGGCUGAAUUGAAGCCCAGGGAGCUUCGUUUCCAACCACCCAUCGACGUUGGCUUGCUUUUAGCAGAGAGGGCCUCACCCUGUGAGACCCAGUGAUGCUCAAAACUCUGUGUCCUUUGAGCCGGUCAGAGGAGGUCCACGGCCAAAAUCAAAUCGUGGCAUCACUUUCCUAGCUCACAGGAGGAAAAAGGUAAAGCAGAAUUUUCUUCAUCUUAUACAUUUCCCGUAUAUUUUUUAGAAACCCUUGAUAUUUGCUGCCGAUUGUUUGCUUAUGAGUAUUGGCCAGAUGGCCAAAUGAAUGCACAAGCAGUGGACAAACAUCGGAAAAAAAUUAGGAACAGCUGAUCAUGUCUUAGCAGAUUUGUCGUCCCCUUCCUCCCAACACACACACUCAAGUGUGGUUGAGGUUUUGUGUUGGACACAGGACAGAGAAGCAUCCUGUGUUCUGUCGGGGAUGCAUCCCUGCCGUGGCAUUGGCGCUGGUGCCAUACCGCCUAGUGGGGCUCGGGCUGCGCUCGUCUCCACACACCCCCCCAACCUAAUCAUGGACACAAAUGCACCAGAGAAUAAAAAUAUGUAAGCAUGGGGAGCCUGGGUGGCUCAGUCGGUUAAGCCUCUGACUCUUGAUUUUGGCUCAGGUCAUGAUCUCACAGUCCUGAGAUGGAGCCCUGAGCACGAGGCCUGUUUGGGAUUCUCUUUCCCUUUCUCUCUCUGCUUCUCCCAUGCUCCUGCUCUCUUUCUCUCUCAAAGUAAACACAUAAAUGCUUAAAAAUAGGCAAACGUUCCCAUAGACGUGCCAACAGUUCUCGUUUUAAGCUUAAGCAAUCCAUAAACUUGAUGUAUACGGAACACUGCUGCUCAGUUAAGGAAGCAGAAACAGCAUGGCUGAGACUAGAUUGAAGAGUCCAAGAGAAAUUCACUUCAGGCCCGGUGGCGACACGGACAACUGUACCCAGCGAUGUGUGACCUCUUUCCACACCCCUCAGGGUGAAGGCUCUUGCAGUAGAGACGUCGGAGUUCUCUGCAGUGUCAGAGGGCCAGGGGCUGGUCAGUGACGAGAGUACAUGGUGUGGUUGGGGAACCAACGCCUGGGUCCUGGUCGGAGCUCACCUGGUUUUAAGAAACAGAUCCAGGGAGGCAAAGUCGUAUUGCCAGGAUCGGGGGGCUGUCCAAAUGCACCAAUUUGCCCGUGAUGGGAAAAGUCUACUCUGCUCCCCAGUUCUGCCAGAUUUAUGUCUCUAAAUUUCUUAGUAUUCUAAAAAAGGAGAUUUGGAUCGCUUCUUGGUCUCCUCAUGGGUUAGUUUCCCGUAGGUCAGGUGUUCAUGCCAAGCCCGUCAGCCUGUGUGUGCGCACACAGGCCUAUGUAUUUUAGAGAUCUGAGAAGUCACAGGUGAGCCUAUGACCAUGUAUACUGCUUUUGUCCUGGGACUUUGAUUUUCGACUCUCCUGCAGAUGAAUGGCCCUGUAUGAGGAGCCCUGUGCUUCAUCUUCAACCAACUAUAGACUGUAAAUAAUCUACGUGGACGCUGAAUCGGGGAAAGCUGUCCCCACCUUGUUGCAAAGUGGCCUUGGAUUUUUGCGUAAAAGUAAGUUUCCUGAUCUCACGAACCAGGCAGUAUUUCCUUCAGCUAGAAAACAGGCAAGUGGUGGUAAGGCAAAUGGAGUGGUUCAACAGGUAAAAGCUGCAGUUACGCAAGAUUAAGUUCUAGAGAUCUGUGUACCAGGUCCGACAGUUAACGGUACUGUGCUGUGUACUUAAAAUUUUCAGCAGGUACAGCUCCUGUAUUCUGCCUACGGUAAUAAACUACAUGCAUAAUAUAUACAUUCAUAUUAUAUACAGCUUUGGCUUUUUAAAGGUGCGUGCUGAGUCACGUAGAAAGUGAAAUACAGGGGCAGUUCUUGAGAUGGUCUCUGUCUCCCUCUCCUCCCCCUGCAACCUCUCUCUGCUCAUGCUUGCUCAUGCGCUCUCAAGAUACAAAAAUAUCAGAUAAAAAAGUGAACCACAGAUCUGCCUGAGUCGCCAAACAGAGUUGCCUUGUGCUCUUAUUUGGGAGAGAGUCUUGGGGGUUUUUCUACCUAGGACUUUCUCAUCUUCGACACAGGGUGGUCAUGACCAUGAUAUGGUUAAAAAAAACCCUUGGGGCGCCUGGGUGGCGCAGUCGGUUAAGCGUCCGACUUCAGCCAGGUCACGAUCUCGCGGUCCGUGAGUUCGAGCCCCGCGUCGGGCUCUGGGCUGAUGGCUCAGAGCCUGGAGCCUGUUUCCGAUACUGUGUCUCCCUCUCUCUCUACCCCUCCCCCGUUCAUGCUCUGUCUCUCUCUGUCCCAAAAAUAAAUAAACGUUGAAAAAAAAAAUUAAAAAAAAAAAACAAACCCUCAGUUACAUAUUCCGAUACAGUUUAGUAAAGAUACGUGUAUUAGGGACUUAGAGGAGCAGAAACACUGAUAAAAUGAGACUUAUUACGAGUGCCCACAACUGUGCCCAGUUCAACAGUCCCUCACCUCUGUAUCUGAUGCUGAACCUGAAGUCUGUGGGGCUGGCAUUGGAAGGAAAGAUGGAAACGGAGAAGAGCAAAGACGAGCUGGAACCUGUGUCCCGCUGCCUCUAGGCCUCUGGCUCGUACACCGUGGGCAGCCUGCGGGAAAAGCUGGUCCAGGAUGCUCAGAGGCUGAAGGGAGCGCGGGCCCAGCUGCUGCCCCAGGAGGUGUGGCGGCGCCUGCUGCCCUCUGAUGACCUCAGGAACAUGGCGAGGCCUGGUUGCUGUCGCACCUCCCUCUUAACUGGUGUUCACGUAAACGUACCAGCCUUCACGUAAAACUAUCCAGGGCCAGAAAGCCCCAGCUUAGCUGAGCUGGUGCAGCACGAACGCAGCCGAGUCUGAAGAUGUAUAAACAUUCCCAUCAAUGAUGCGAACCAUUUUAUCUUUGCCUUAAGCUAUCCAUAAGAUGGGUUUCCAGGGAGUACCUCUUUCCUUGAAUGCUAUCACUUAAGGGGAACCAAGGAAAAGCGGGGGAAACAUCCGGGUUGAAGUUAGGAUGAUGUAUUCCUCAAAUAAUUUCAGAACUGACCCGAUCCUUAAAACCUGCUAAAAAUGGUUGGUGCUCUGAGCAGAAAGGAACCUUCUCAUUAAAUCCCAACACACGAGGUCACUGUCGUGGGUCUUGCUCCAGCUGCCUUUAAUGCUGCAUAAACCUCUCUCUUCUGCAGCUGGGUCACAUUCAGUAAGUGCUUACAGCACAUCUGAUUAAGGUCAGUCCCAGGGCUUCCAUGAAUCAUCUCCAGGAAGGAAUGCUGGGGAGGCAAUGUGACUGCAGGUCACUUUCUUCUGUCUUGCUGCUCCGAGGACGACUCCUGCUCUGCGCUCCAUCACGUCCCCCACAUUAAUCGUUCCUGGAAGACAGAACACAGCUGGACCCUGAACACGCCCGGGACUUGGCCACAGCUGGGAUUUGGCCCUGCCGCGAUCUCAGGGGCUCCGAGGGCAAGAUGCCUUGUCUGUCUCUCCUGCAUUUCCCAAAGCAGCCCACGCCGAAGCCGCAGCAGGUAGGGCCACUGAGAUGUCCUUCAAGGCGGUCACCAAACAGGAGGCUGGGUGUCUAGGGGGAGGGGCAGAGGUCCUGGGACAGAAGAGCCAACCGGGGAGCUUGCAUAGCUGAGACCUGGGUGUCCCCUGCUUCUGAGCGAGCCCUGGAGAUGAAGAGAAUCUGAAUAUCAUGUGCGUCGAACGAGCGUGUCCUCGUCAAGGCUGCAGGCAGCAGAGUUUCCCUCUGGCGAGCUCUGUCACACCCCCAGCUCCUGAGCUACGGUUUGACUGCCCAGACAGGACUUCAUCUGUAACAGAUGGAGUCGGUCUGUUGCUUUAGGAUGUGUGAGCUGUGACCACGACGCCGAUUUCCCUUCAUGUGAUAGAAAAUAAAGAAUGACUCCAGGUCGCUGGCAUUUGCACAGAUAGGGCGGCAUUUCUUUCAACUUCUGAAGAUUCAGAGUGGAAGCAAAGACUCCCACGGUAAUUUAGCACAGCACCUGCUCCCCCAGGCAAAGAAAGUGACUUCAGUCCCUUUAAUCUUGCCGGACUAGAAACCCAAAGAGCGUGGGAACCAGACUCGUGAGUUCUAACGCUGGACCCAGACUUUUGGAGCAGAAGCUGAACAUCACCACUGGUUUGGGCAAACGUAACAGGAGAGACCGUAAGAGCUGAGGCCGUGGGUCAUGGGGUGCUUAUAUGGUUUAGAGAGACUGGAACAUACCUUUUAAAAUUUAUCAGGGGCGCCCGGGUGGCUCAGUCGGUUAAGCAUCCAGCUUCAGCUCAGGGCAUGAUCUCGCGUUUCGUGAGUUUGAGCCCCGCGUCAGCCUCUGUGCUGACAGCUCAAAGCUGUCAGCCUAGGAUUCUGUCUCCCUUUCUGCCCUUCCCCUGCUCAUGCUCACACAUGCUGUCUCAAAAAUAAACAUUUUUUAAAAAUUUAUAGAAGUUUACUGUCAAAUUCAGCUCUCCCUCCCAAGAGAAAAAAGCCAGGGAUCCCUGUGUUUGUUUAAACUUCAUUUUUUGAGUAUUGGGUAAUCAAUAAUUCUCGUUGAAGGACUAUUAAAAUGCAUGAUUUCAAAAAAAUGUAGAUUCUGAAACCACUUAUCGCUGUAUUUCCCACUAGAGCUGAAUGGGUAACAUUUUCCAUUUGUCUGUUAAGUUGGCUCUGAGAGAACAACAUGAAUGUCACAGCCAGAGGAAUCUUAAGAAAUCCUGUUCUCCAACUGUUUUAUUAUACAAAUAACUUCAAAUCCAUGCCUGGCUUAAUUAAGGUCUCUGCUAGUUACUGGCAGAAUUUGGCACUGUGGUUUCCCAUUCCAGCCUUUUUCUAUACCUCAAAGCUGCUUUAUUCUCUCCAGACACUGGGGCAUGCCAUUGGAGACCUGUGGUCCCACUUCAUAUGAGCACAUUUCCAGGUAGUGACUGGGCCAGGCCAGAAGGGCCACAGCCUGCACCCCUGGAAUCUCUCCUCAUCUGCCUCCACGAGACUGUCCCCCCUGCUGGACUGUGAACCACCUUCUCGCAUAAAAUCUGCAAUGUGAUAGGGAGAGAAGAGAUCCCAGUCGCCUGUGGUUAUCUGGCACAUCUAACUUUGGAGUCCUUGUGAGUUGGCCACGUUGGCCUGUCAUUCUAGUGACCCACAGGGAGUUGGCAACGACCUGAACACGAUCGUUGCUCAAAGAGAGAUUUGGGUUGCUCACAGGCCCUCUGGUCCUCCGUGAAAUCAUGAAAUUCUUCAUGCUGGUUGAUCUGUUUUAAGCCAGAUGAUCAUGUGGGCAGGUCCUCUGCAACAGGGUCCACACACAGCCACGGAUCAAAAGUGGCAAACUGUCCUUACAUUUUUAAAAUAAUGAGCCAGCAUCUCUCCCUAAUUUUUGUACCCCGGGUCAAGCUUGUGAUGUGGAAAGAAAUGUCCUCUCUUCUCAUUGAACGCUGAGCAGUAACCAGAUUCUCUUCUAGAUGGGAGCUGUCUACAGCAGCGUCCCCUCUAUAGUCUGGAAGGGGGUAGAAAGUUCCUCCAUCCUCGGCUGUGCCUUGCAACACCACAGACGUGUUUUAUUUCCACUUCCAGAGCCAGAGGGAUCAUCCCUCCUCAGGCCUCCAAGUCACCGAGUGGUGACGGGCUGCAGGGCAGGAAGAGCAGCGUGGCAUCUGUGGCCAACCCAGGUUACGGAAGUCAGAGUGGUGACAGGUCCCUUCCCCCUUUCAGGGAUCUGGGCUCCGUAACAGGAGACUGUUUACGAGGCGGGCCCUGCCCACCUAAAAAAUGUGCUAUUCCCAACCAGAAAGUGUCGCGGCAGGUUGGGAUUGUGCCCCAAACUUUAUCCCUUUGACUUCACCCCUGGGACAGAAAGGAUUUUCAUGGCUUGAGUUUGGUGCUACCGAAAAGGCACAACAGCGUUUCUCCGUGGCUGUGACGCCAUACCCAUCCAGGGCCCAGCAGCCAGUCUGUUGAUUCCAAGUGGGGCCAUCACUGCGUCUGGGUUACAUAUGCCUGGUUUGUGCAGUAACUGAGUCGCUCUACUUGAAUGUAAGAACCUCUCUGGGCCUCAGUUGCCUCACCUGCCAAGUAAGCGGGGUCCCCUGUGCCUCUGAGGGUCUAGUGUCCUGAGUGCCCGUACUCCCGUGGGACCGAUGCUACUCCUGAUGUAUCUCCCUGAUGUUACUAUUUUUAUCUUUGUACGGCUGGACAGCUGAGUCAACUACAUGAUCAGAGGAAGGUCAGCUUCGGUUCAAGGGAGGAAAACUCCACCUUUAAUACAGCCUAAACGCUCAUCGUAAGAGCGUCUACGGGGUGGUUGAACGUCUGACUCUGAUUUCGGCUUAGGUUGUGAUCUCGUGGUCCUGAGAUCGAGUCCUGCGUUGGCUCCACGCUGAGUGUUGGAACCUGCUGAAGAUUCUCUCUCCCCCCUCUGCUUACACUUGCAUGCUCCCAAAAAAACCAAACAAAAAAACACCUUAGGAAAAGAAAAGAGCAUCUCCAGUGAUGUUGUCCCCCCUGCCAAAUGAUUACGUGGCUUCUUUCACUAGAGAAGUGAAAAUACUCUACGUUUGCUGUAGCCUGUCGCCUAGAAUUAUUUAUUGUGAUACUAAACGAGUUUGACCAGGUAUCUUCUGUUUUGAUGGCGACAACUUCCCAGAACAAAGUCCUCUUUCUAAAUGAGGUUUCCUGCUAGGAAAACUCCGCUGGACCCGUCGCCAACUUUGACGAACGUUCCUUUCAAAUUAAGUGAGCAAAUGGGUACUCGGGAUAGCGGAAGCCUAAGGAGUUGUCAGAUUGCCUCCAGACACAGCACCAGGACGCACAGUAACAGGAAUGUUUUUAAGGCCAUCUUGCCAAAAACCGGAUGAAGAGAGGUUCUUUCCCUGUGGCCCUGCGAGUUCGUGAACCGCCCCCCCCCCGCCCCCCCCAUGAAACCCACUACGUGUGUUCCCUCCUCAUCACAACAGGCAGCAAGAUACAAACAUCCCGGAGGAACCAUGGCUAUGGCAUUUUGCUGCUCAUUUCAUCAAGGGGUGGAGUCCCUGUCGCCGUCUCUCACGGCGUCCUUUGGACAAUAGGAUGUGACAGAGCGAUAAUGUGCAAGUUCCAUGGCCUUCGCCGCAAGAGGCGGGCCGGCUUUUGCCUCUCUCUUGGAAUGCUCCUGCCCCCACGUGAGGAAGUCCGGUCUUCCUUACUAAAUGAUGACAGGCCCCAGAGAGAGGUGGGCCCAGAUGACAGCCAGCGUGGGGGCGCUAGCCAUAUGAGUGAGGCCAUCUUCUAGCCUCCAGCUCCGGGCCAGCUGCCAAAUGGCUGCAGCCAGACGCGUGAGUCAAGACCAGAACUGCCCAGCUGAGCCCAGCCCCAGUGGACAGUGAUGACCAAAUAAGUGAUCCUUGUUCUAAGCCACUGAGUUUCGGGGUGAACUGUUACCUAGCAAUAGAGAGAAGCCACAUAGCUCUGCAGUGCAGACGGAGAAACGUGAAUCAGGAUCAGGAAUGUGAAGUAACUUGGCCAAGGGCUAUAGAGGCAGUAGGUGGGCGCAGUCCUGAUUUGACUUAGGUCUUUGGGAUAUCACAUUCUCCUUUGCUUGUCCGUGUCAAAACUAUUCCACCUAAGUGGAAAAAGUCCUGAAUUUCAGGAAAUGUGAAGGAGCAGCUUCUUAUAAGCAGAUGAUGGUAAAGAUUAGUUAAAACAUAAUUUUUUUUAGUAGUUUUCUGCUUCUAUUUGUUAGGAAGUGUUUUCCAAAAUGGCUUCAGAGAAUGUAUCGCCUCUCUUUUUAGGAGCAGGAUUCUUGAGCUUACAGGGUUCUUCAGCUAAUGUUCUGACCUGGGGCUUGGGUAGGCACAAUUCCUCUGAAAUACGGGUCUUUUCGUAGGGGCUUUCUAGUCCAAUGCACUUGAUGAAAAGGUUUACUAAAGGAUCAUCCGCUGUAGAACUUGGCUGUCUGAAGCUUGUGAAGUCUUACAAGUGAGGGCCCUUCUAAAGCGUGGGGCCACCAAAGAGGCGGCAGGACAUUUUUUCCAGACAGGACCAGAUAGUAUUUUGAGCUUUGCGACCCAUACGGCCUCGGUCAAAACUAAACUCAGUUCUGCCUUUGUAACUUGAAAUCAGCUGUAGGCAAUAUGUAAACAAGUGAGCGGAGCUGUGUUCCGGCAAAAUUUUAUUGACAAAAAUGGCAGGCCAGACUUUAUCCAUGGUUCAUAGUUGUUUCCACGACCCCUGAAUUAGAGGAAGACUGCCCGCCAAUUAGAGGAAGGCCGCCUAUAGCUGAGCUGCUGGCCCGGGUGUCUGCAGGGUUUGAGUGAUUGCAUAGCUUCCAGGUGGCUGUUACGUAGAGGGACUCAAGCUAGGAGUGCACAAGCCAACAGGGUCAGAGCAAGAGAUGCUUUUUAAGGAAUAGCCCCCUCAUCCCAGCAGACUCCCGAGGAAGCCCGGUGGCUGACAGCCAUCUGGCACGCGAAGUUCCUCAGUUGUGUCCUCGGGCAAAUUAUCUUUGAGGCUUAGCCUGCUUAUCUGUACAAUGGGGAGGGUAAUGAGGAACAGACUCUGCAAAAUGGGUGGGCUCUUAUGUCACAGUGGUGGUGUCAUGCUCACGGGGGGAGGGGUCAGGUUCUGUGCUCUCCUUACCCAGCGUGGAGAACAGCCGCAGAUCAUUGAUUAUUGCCCAUGAGCUUGGCGAGAGGCACGCUAAUUGCCCGACCAGACACUACGUCUCUGAAGUGUUGUUGGCUCCUGGUCUUGCUUGUUCGUCCCCUGGUCUGAGACUUGACCUCUCCAUCAUUGUUUUCACCUCACUGGUGACAGAGGUGGCAGGGCAGACGGGGGUUUGGUGCCUGGUGUUCCCAAGGGUUUAAGCUGCUGGUUGGCAGAGGUGGUUACCUUGGGCCCAGGUGCAUCAGAGGGUGUCUAUUUUUUUUUUUAACGUCAGCCUGAAUCAAUGAGAUCAAAUAAUACCUUCCCUUAAAUCGGUUUGCCCUUGUGUCCCUCCAGGGAUGCCCGUGAUACUGUUUGCUCCUUCCAGCUGCAGUUUUGUCUGGCUGGAAUUCUUCUGGGGGAUGGUAGAAUAAUAAGAAUAGCUUACUUACCAGUCUACAUCCACCAUGGUUAUUUUCACCGGUGUUCCAUUUCUAGCAUGCCGCCAUAUUCGAAUCAGAUGCUGCCGCUUUAAAGUGCGGGUUAUUUUAGGUUUUAGAAAAGUGUGCGUGAAACAGUCUGGUCUAGAUUUACAAGGGCAACGGAGAGCUUCCCAGGACACAGUGUAUUUCUUUUGGUCAUGUUCUGAGUUUUAAGGGCACUUUGCCAAUAGUUGGUCCAUGAUUCCACUUGUUGGGCAGCAGCUGAUUUGCUCUGAGAUUAAUCGAAAGAGCUUCCCGGUUUGUUUUUUCUUCUAUAAUUGUCCCUUGCCAGAUCUGAAGGGAAUCUUAGUGGCUACCUAGCCAUGCCCUGUAGUCCCUAUCCCUCCUCCUCUUCUAGACUGGAAAAAUCAAAGCAUUCCUCCUCAAGCGUUCUGUUGUUUGGUUUUCUGUUGAGCGUAGCAGACACACAGUAUUAUGUUAGUUUUAGGCGUACAACAUAGUGACUCGACAAGUUUAUACGUUAUGCUGUGUUCAAGCGUAGCUGCCCUCUGUCCUGAUAGAUGGCUAUUUGGAGGUCACUGAUUAUAUUCUUUGUGCUGUGCCUUUUAUUCCUGUGAUUUAUUCCGUAACUGGAAGCCUAUAGAAGUUUUCUCGAUGUUACAGAACUGAAUGGUCGUGUUCUCCCCAAAGCUGAUGGGUUGAAAUCCUAGCCCCCAGUGGGAUGGCCUUAGGUGGUGUUGGUAUGGUAGAGCCCUCAUGAAUGAGAUUAACGCCCUUGUGAAGAGAGACCAGAGAGCCUGCUUGCACACACUCUGCUCUCUGCCGUGUAAGGGCGUAACGAGAAGGCAGCUUUCUUCAUCACGGGGAGAGUAAAUGUACAGGGUAUUGGGGCCCCUGGGUGGCUCAGGAGGUUGAGUGUCUGACUCUUGAUUUUUGGCUCAGGUCACGAUCCCAAGGUCAUGGGACGGAGCCCCGCUCCACACCCGGCACAGAGCUUGCUUGAGAUUCUCUCUUCCUCCUGGGUGCAGGUAUCCUCAUGCCCUCUCUCAAAUAUUUAAAAAAAAAAAAAAAAAAAAGUACAGUGUAUUGAAGUAAAAGUCUCCAAAAUCUCAGCUGAGAUGUCCAAUGCUUGUAUUUCGGUUGGGUCAUCCUUCCCUGCAGGAGCAGAAUGACCCGAGGUCUCUCUUGCUGUAACCAAGGAGAGCCCUGCUAGGGGCCCCAGAGCCCUGCUGGCAUAUUUCUGGGCCCUCCACACCCAGUCUGUGCAGUUUCGGGGUGGCGGAGGUGGCUGGAUAUCUCACUGUACGUGUUCACGUCCACUUUUUCCGCCUCAGCCACGUUGGGAAUCACAGCCGCAACUAUUUCCAGUGCCUAGCCCAAAAUUGUCUUUAGCUGGAAGCCGAUAUCUUCCAUGCAUGGAAAUGUUUAUCAGGUGGGUGGCCCCCCUUGUAUUAGCGCUUUUAGGGAGCUGUGAGACGACGCCCUUCCGAUGUCGUUACUCUAAGCGGCUCUGUUCUUGUGGCUCUGCUGGUGAUGCCUUAGCAUCACCUUCAAACCUGUCUUUCCCACUGGGGCCAUUCCUGCUAGGAUUGCCUGCUGGACACAUCAACUGGGAGCUUUGGUUGACAUCUUGAAAACCAAGUUCCUCAUCUUCUCCCCCAACACGAGCUUGCCCUUCCCAGUUUUAAUUUCUUCCAGAGGCUCCGCCAUUUUCUCAAGGUAAAGUCUAAGCUUCAGAUCUGUGAUGCUGGCUUAUUUAUACUGCCGUGCUCCCCCUACCACCAUAGCCAGCCCAAGGUAGGUCUUGUUUCUUCCAGAAUAUUCUGUCCUCCUCCCUUCUGCCCUCUUCUCGUUACCACGUGCCUGAAGUACAACAGUGGUCCAUGGCUCCCCUUGGUCAACCUCCCCCGGCCUUUCCACCCAAAACAUCAGUGUGAUUUUCUCAUGUCCAGUUGAAAUCUGAACCUCUGUGUUGGCUUUCUAAAGUCCUGGAUGCUUCCAUCCUCCUGGUCUGGUAUGGAAAUAUGAUUGUUUCUGCUCAGGCCCGUUGCCAAAACAUUGCCGUUCUCUCUUGCUUCUGUCCUACCCUCAUGGGGAUCCUUCAUCUGAACUGCCCUCCAGUGUCCCCCACCCCCACCCAUUCACUUGAUGUUUCACUCCCUCAAGCCCUGCCUAAUUUUGCUGUUCUUUGCAAUCUCUUCUAGGUCUAUCAUCUCGUAUGAACCCCACUUUGCCUGGCCCUGUUCAUCAUGUCACAUGGAUGCGUGUUCUCUCCCUCGUUAGGCUGUAACCCAGUAGCUGUCAUGGCAACGCUGUUUCAUGUUGGUCUCUGCUUACGGAUAGUGAUGCUGUUGGCCGGGAAUGCUGUGGGGCGCCGACCUGGGCUGUACUGCUCGGGGGGAGCCUCCCAGACAUCUCCCCGCCCAGAGCCGACAUUGUGGCUGCACCGGCCCCUGUGGUUCUUGGGAUUUCAAGGCGUACCUUAGCAACAAUCAUCAGGGAACUUUGAAAAAACAAGGUUUAUUACAAAUCCUGGAGGGUACACAGCAUGCCCAGGGCCACACAGCAAGAGGGAAAGCACAGACCUGGCAUUCUGCCUUUGUUGGGGUCGAGGGUGGGGGCCUGGGGUUUCUAUGGGUUCACUCUUUAUUGGCGAAUGUAAAACAUCGUAACAGUGGGAAUUCAAGCCUGGGAAGGGAAGAGCGGGGUCGCUCCAGCGGUCAGUAAUCUAGGUCACCCAGGGUUUUCUAAAAGAAGGCCGUGGGUGGGGUGGCCUGGCUCUUUGUCUCGUUGUGCAGCUGGCAGCGUGUUCAUUUGAAAUGAAUUCCGCGGCAAAAACUUGAUGUCAGGCGCUACAUUACAAUAAAAAACCCUGGCGGUCGGGCACUUCGCCUGGGUGCCACAGCCUGAAACAAUAGCAAACUGCCCCCCACCCCCCCCGUGCUGAGCUGAGUAGCUGGUGCCCUACCUGCCGAGCUUGGCAGCCGUUUCCUCACGCAGAGGUUGCUGUCCAUUUCCCUCCUUCAAGAAUGCCAUUCCCAACUCCACCUUCAGAGCCAUUUUCUCUUUCAAGGAACCUUGAAAGUGGAUUAUGCUGAUCUUGGUUUCCAGACACAGAACCAUAGAUUUUCUGCUGGUCAGAGGUCCCCAGCUAGCCUCUUUCUGUCGCCUUUAAAGCUGAUACCCCAAGUCCCUUUUGUGCCUUGGGCUUAGAGUGUACCCUUGACAAAGGGGUCUCUCCCCCCCCACCCCACCCCACCCAGGAUCGGAGAGUGUGAGGGAUACUUGAAUAGUCCCGUGUGCUCAGGCUAGAAAUGAAUGCUGAAUUGAGGUAAUAAAUAGAAGCGUCCUGUCCUUCCCGGGGCCGGACGAUGAAGAGCCCAAGGAGUGAUGUGUGGGAGAAGGGCAGCGAAGAGAGCAGCGCCCUCAGUUGGCCCCCACACUUGUGUCUGACUCUUCCUUGUGAUUCUCCGAGCUCUAUGCAGAGAGUGGCUAGCCGCCCCUUAGGAUGCUUCACGAACCUGAAAGGUUUCUUGGAGACGAACAUGAACUGAUGAAUAAGUUGUUCCCUCUGGGCAGGAAGAGCUGAUCGAAGAAUCUUGGCCAUUCCUUACCUUUACCAAAUGUUCCCAAGGAAAGCCCCAUAGAAGGACAUAUUGUGUGUGUCCCCAUCUAGGGAUUUAACGUCCACGUGUGGACCAUCUCCCCUUGCUUGUGGCUUGCUCUGUCUCUCCUGUGGACCUAGCCGACCUUUUAGACCUAAAUAUUUACCAGAGAGAGGUUGGUAGGAGGACAGGGCUACACAUGAAGGAGAAGAAUGUAGGUUUAUGAUCAGGAAAUGCCUCCGAGUAUCAGAGGAAUAAGUCUCCUGAGGGAGUGCUCUCUCAGGAGGCGAAGGAAGGGAGAGGUGUCCCCUUGGCUUUAGUUCUCCAGAAAUGAACUUGUUGACUGAAGUGGGAGACUAGUGAGGAUGGUCUGUUUCCAUCCCAGCGGGAUUCUUUGUCGGAAACCACACUGGCUGUCCUUAACUAGGUGGCUGGGUUUUCAGGGUGUCCUUGAACACAGAUUGGGCUUCCCCAGGUUUCUUCCGUGAGGCAUCCUGCCUCCCAUUCUCCUCGGGGAAUUGAAAGAAAUGAGAGAGUUGCAUAGGCAGAUGGUCAAAAUUUGUACAGAGCCCCCAGCGUUAACAUUUCAGUGCCAGAAUUUUAAAAGAGCAUGAAAUGAUUCCGGUGGCCAAGUUUUAGGAAUCAAAGCUACCCAGUUUCCUGCAGGUAUAGAAACCAUGGUCUCAGCAAGGGCUGUGAUGUCUUAUCGUGGAUGGAAAUGCCUGAGAUUUCUAUCUGCUGUUCUCGUCAGGUAUUUUAGAGGUCACGAGUAAUUAGUCAUCACCAGCCCUUUUGAUUCUGUCAUGAAAACGCCUCGCUCCCCCGCCUCCCUUCCCCGCCUCCCUUCUACCCACAAUUUGAGUGAUCUCACGUCAAACUCCACAGAACUCUCACCUGCGAAUGUAUAAUAUUUUAUUAACAGUUCUGCCUACCUUCUUGCCCUUAAUCCAUUUUUACUUCCAGAAUAAUCUCCAUAAACCGGAUCUCAUUAGGCUACUCCCAAUUUAAGUCCCGCUCUAACUUGGCGUUGGAUGUUACCCUUGACCUGGCCCGCAAUGACCUUUCCAAGGUUCAAGGUAAACAGCUUGCUAUAGCGCACACCCCUCCACUGGGGGGCCAUGUGCUGGCAAUUCCCUCUGCCUGAUGACUCACAUAUGUAUCCCCUUCACAUCCAAAUUCCAUCCGUCCUGGAGACUCAGCCCGCAUGGCACUACCUCCGCAGACCUGGAUCUUUCUCCUCUUCCCCACUCUUCAUCCCAGUUUGUCCUUUGACCACCCACACUUCCAACCUUGAGUUAUGAUCUUUUGUCAUUGCAUCGUAGCCCAUCUGCGUUGUAAACACGCUGUGGCCAUAGACCGUGCUUUCAGGCUCUGAAUCUAGCUACCCCAGAGCAUCGUCCCCAAAUGAGCAUCCUAUUAAUAAUUGUUGCUACGGUAGGUCAGUUAAUGAGCUUAGGUUGUGUCUUAUUCAAUAAAAGUUGUCUUAAACGUGCAUUAAAGACCUUUUAUGCCACUUAUAGAUGCUCUUAUGUCUAGAACUGUCCACAAGCUAAUGAUUGCUGUAAGCCAGAAAGUAUAAGCGCAAGAGUUCAAAAUAACUUAGAGUGACACAACAUGUUUCCCCCUCAGUGAGUGUAAAGUAAACCCUAUCAAGACAUUUUCCUUCUUGGAAGAAGAGGGAAGGAGGAAGCUCUACAGAGUAGACAAAAUGAGAUUACUAUAGAAAACUCAAAGUUCUGUCAGUUUAGAUAUUAAAUUGCCUUAAAAUUUCUGUAGACAACGUCUGGAAGAUUAACAGAUUUGACUGCAUGACCUUUACCGUACAGAAGAUUAGCACAUUUGAUAUGCUGACUGGGAGGAAUACUUACAGGCUGUAUAAUGGGACAAAGGAUUAAUACUCCCCAAAUAGAACGUGUUUCUAUAAAUCAGUAUAAAAAUGGAUGAAGGAUUGUGUUUGCUAUCUAUUGCUAGUGAACGAACUACCCAAAAUGCGCUGGGUUGAGUGAGCACUGACUCCGUGUACCUCAUGGCUUUGCAGUCUGGGGCUGGCUCCGCCGGGUGGUUCUUCUCCAUAGGGUCUCCCAUCCAAGUACUAACCAGGCCCGACCCUGCUUAGCUUCCGAGAUCAGACGAGAUCGGGCGUGUUCAGGGUGGUAUGGCCAUAGACGGUUCUUCUCCAUAGGGUGUGCACCGGGGCUGGCGUGUCCGAGGUGGCUCCUUCAGUGGCCUGUCUGGGGCCUCAGCUGGAGUGAGGAGAACAGCCAGGCAUCUCAUCCUCCGUGAGGUCCUGCUUGCAAAGAAGCUGGACCUUUAUGUGGUGACUUAGGGUUCUAAGAGUGAGCUGUCCGAGGGAACAGCCCCACCGUGUAAGCACUUACCAGCAAGCCUCUGCUUGCUAAUAACUUUUUUGGUCGAGCAAGUGACUUGGCCAAGUCCAUUGCCAAUGGUGGAGGUGUUAACCCAAGACCGUGAACACGAGGUGUGAUUUACUGUGGAACAUCGGUGUAAUAGCCUGCUACCCAUAUGAGAGGCAGUUCACUAAAGAAAUAGGAAUGAGUCAUAAACAAGAAAAAUGCACAGUUUUGUUAGCAGUCAAAGUAAUGCAAGUGAAAAUGGUGACAGGCUGUUUUCAUUAGGAAAUUGACAGUACGCAGUAUCUAGUUAAUGUCUAGUGUUUGGGGUGCCUGGUGGCUCAGUUGGUAAAGCGUCCGACUUCGGCUCAGGUCAUGAUCUCGUGGUUUGUGGGUUCGAGCCCCGCCUCGGGCUCUGUGCUGACAGCUCAGAGCUGGAGGCUGUUUCGGAUUCUGUGUCUCCCUCUCUCUUUCUCUCUGUCUCUCUGCCCCUUCCCCACUGACACUUUGUCUCUCCCAAAAAUAAACAUUAAAAAAUAUUUUUUUAAAUCAUUAAACAAAAACAUGUAGUGUUAACAAGCUUUACAAGAGAAUCUUCUACACUUUGGUGGGAGUGUCAAUUAGGGUGACCUUUUUAAAAAAGUGAUUUGGCAGCGGGUAUCAAAGUAUAAAAUGUGGGGGCGCCUGGGUGGCGCAGUUGGUUGAGCGUCCGACUUCAGCCAGGUCACGAUCUCGCGGUCCGUGAGUUCGAGCCCCGCGUCGGGCUCUGGGCUGAUGGCUCAGAGCCUGGAGCCUGUUUCUGAUUCUGUGUCUCCCUCUCUCUCUGCCGCUCCCCCAUUCAUGCUCUGUCUCUCUCUGUCCCAAAAAUAAAUAAACAUUGAAAAAAAAAAAAAAAGUAUAAAAUGUGUAAAUUGGCACCUUCCGCUUCUGCAGGUGAACAUACUUCUAUGUGUAAAAAAUAUUUCUGUAAGUUCCCCGGAAUGUUACAGAGGGAUGUUUAUAUAUCACCACUUGUAAUGGUAAUGAAGUAGAACAUGAAAGCCUAUUAGAGAACGUGUGAAUUAUCAUAAAGCUAUACUAUGGAAUAUCGAGCAGCCACAUUAAGGUUGGGUAAGAGUCUGCUGGUGUGGAAUGAUCCCCGGAGAGGUUGUUGAGUGGGAAAACAGGCCCUCUGGGUAUUCUGUGUCAGCACUUUCAUGGGAACAAAAUUUGGGGUAAAUACACACCAGAGGGAGAAAGGGGUCUAGAAUAAAGUGUAGAAACGGGCUGGGAGUUUAUUUUGGCUUUUUAGUUUUGUACGAAGGUCUGCUUACUUGGAAUCUUUUCUGAUGAGGACGCAUGGCUCUCAUGACGGGGAAAAGUGGAGGCUCCCUUAAAAUUUGCACGUCUACGUGUAUACCCAUACACGCAUGUGCAAGUGUCCGUAGAAGCGCAGCGUAAGAGAUCUCAGGGGAAGGUUCGUUGGAUACCCGAAGCUCUGCCAGUGAGCCUCUCUCGUCCUCUUCAGUGCCCUCAAGCUCAUUCUCUCUCCUGGAAAAAUAGAGGUCUGUGAGUCACUUGUAAUUCCUGAUAGGAGGCACAUUUUUGUAUGAUUUGCUUCUGAGCUUUUUAAAUUGCACGUUGAUCGCAUUAACCGAAAAAAUACACUAUUUUGUUUUUUCCGCAUCUAGAACCAAGCUACACGUUAGGAACGAGGGAUCGUUAGAAAAGGUGACUCAGUGUACCCGUUCAGUGAGAUGUCCAACUUCCGCAUAAGCUCCUGGCGUCUUCUGACGCCCACGCGGAAUGGGUACGGUUCUAAUCGGGCUUCUCCGCGGAAGGCGUAACGGGGAAAUGUCCAGACUCACUUCUGCGGUGGUCAGAGCUGGCAUUUCCCUCCUGUUUCCUCCUGCUGAUACCUGAACAAAUUCUCGCUUUCCUCCCUCUUCUCGCCUCGUGUCCUUCGCAAGAAAAAGAACACACGCCGUUAGCUCCUGUGCAGUGAAGCUCUUUAAGCCGCUCGCGUGGAAGAGAGCUGGGCCCAGGAGGAAGCCUUGUUCUCUUCCAGGUCAGAGCUGCCGCAAGGUCAGGCGUGCGUGAGACCCGAGACGAAGUCUUGUUUAGUUCGAAAAGAUCAUUUAUCGGAUGGUACCAAAUCUGACAGUUUCUGCAAGGAUAAAGCAGUGGUGUAGAAACAUACGAGAGCUUUUAUUUCAUAACGGGUUCAUUUCCUUUUAUCGAUAAAAACCAUCUUAAGGCAACACAGGGGUUUUUUUUAUGUUUAUUUUCUUAUUUUUUUUUAAUUUUUUUUUUUUAUUGAGAGAGUGUAUGUGUGUGAGCACAAGCAGGGCAGAAAGGGAGAACGAUCCCAAGCAGGCUCCGUACUGGCAGCCCAGAGCCCAACUCGGCGUUCGAUCUCGCAAACUGCAAGACCCUGACCUGAGCUGAAAUCAGGAACCAGAUGCUUAACCAACUGAGCCGCCCAGGCGCCCAAGGCAACAUGGUUGCUGACAAAUCUGUUUCGAACUCUUACAUCUUGGUUUCUAGUUACAUGGAGGGGGACCCAUGAAAUUUCAAGAAGGAUCAAACGUCACACCAGGUAAUCGUUGACACUUCUUCCUGGCAGUUAGGAAAAGCGCUCAAUAUGUCAGCGUGACAGUUUCUUAAAGCAACUGUUUCUUUUAUGCCUCGAUCAGCUGCUUAUAUGUUAUCUCUAUCGUGCUAGAUAUUUUAGACAUUGUUUUAAUUUUUUGGAAGUUACGCAAAGGAAGGAAUCCUCAAAUAGAGCACGCGAUGCGUUACUUUCUAAGAGUAUUUUUAUACACAGGAAAAAAAAAAAAAAAAUGUGCUGCUUCCAGAAUACCUGUGUUGCAUCUUCAACGUUUGGCAGGGAAGGUGAUGCUCACAGAAACACAAACUGAGGGGGCGGCCGGCUGGCUUAGUUGGUCGAGCACGUGACUCGAGCUCAGGGUCGUGAGUUCAAACCCCACGUUGGGCAUGGAGCCUAUUGAAAAAAGACUUUAAAAAAUAGGGGCGCCUGGGUGGCGCAGUCGGUUAAGCGUCCGACUUCAGCCAGGUCACGAUCUCGCGGUCCGUGAGUUCGAGCCCCGCGUCGGGCUCUGGGCUGAUGGCUCAGAGCCUGGAGCCUGUUUCCGAUUCUGUGUCUCCCUCUCUCUCUGCCCCUCCCCCGUUCAUGCUCUGUCUCUCUCUGUCCCAAAAAUAAAUAAACGUUGAAAAAAAAAAUUAAAAAAUAAAAUGAAAUAAAAUAAACGAGUAAACAAAAAAGAAACACAAACUGAGAAUCCCAGAACUAUGAGAAAUCUGAACUUGCUUUCAGAUUCCCACAUGUUGGUUUCGUAGAAGCCUUGUAAUAGUCUGAGGUAAACAUGAUGGCUAAGGUUUUUUUUUUAACGUGUGUUUUCUAACUUAUCUGAAAAUCAUAUAUGCAUAAUGAAACUGUUUUCUUUUUACAACCUAAACUAUUUGCCAGAGGAAAAAUGAAGUCUUUCUCUGGGUGAGGGGAAAAAAGGAAAAAGAAAAAAAUGACCACAUCUCUCUUGUGAACCUUAUUCCCUAAAUAGUGUUGAAUGAAUGUUGGCACAGAGUUCUAGAUUCUGUAGCCGGGUUUCUCCAGGUGUGCUCCCCAGGCUCUGGGGGAGAGAGGAGGACUUGUACAGGAUCCUAGCACCUCCCCCCCACCGCAUCCCAUCAAGUCAAAGACAAGGUCCUGGAGUCUGUAUGUUAAACUACUCCCCAGGCAGUGUUUAAUAUAUAGUGAAGUAUGAAACAUUUAAAAAUGAACUAGAAAAGUCUAGGACUUCCUGAGAAGGAAGCCAAAAUUCUGAGGAGGAUUCUAGUUAGGCUUGUUGGUUUGUUCCGUAAAAAAUUUAGAAGGACUUUUCAAAAAGAGGGAGGGAGGUCACUUCUGGGUGGCCUGGGUUUGGCUGGAUCUUGGAGGAAUCAGGCUUCCUCCCUGGUGGGGUUCAAGAGGUUAGGAGGGAUGGGGAAACCAACUGUGGCCAAGAGAAGAGAGACGUUGGCAGGUCAGAGCUUCGGAGGAGGUUCAGUUACGUGAGGCACUUCCCCAGUGGCCCUUGGGGGCACCAGGAGAGGAAGUGCUGUGGGGUCGGUGACACUUCACCGCUCCCAGGCACUCUUCAGGUCUGCCUUUCUUGGACUAUCUUGGCCAGCGCUACCAUCCCAGCAACGUUACAUAGAUUUUUCAAAAGUGCUUGCCUCUUUUAGCAUAUUUCACUUCUGAGGCGAGCACAGAGCUCCAGGACAUUAGGAAUGAUUUAUCAGUCCUAUUAAAGUGAGAGUAUCAUCUCUUCUCCUUGAUGGUGUUCUUUCUAAAUAUCUAGAUGUAUGAAUUUUUAAAAAUCUCUCGCUUUCGGUUUAUGUAACUCCUCCGUAGUGCUUUGGAAGUUUGCACUAAGCAUCCUGCAUUUGUACGAGAACUAAUCAUUUCUCGUGUUAUGCGAACAGCUCGUUCAUAGACCUUCUAGAACCUCCUGCCUGGAGGGGUUGUCAGACUUCAUACUGUACAAAAUAUACCCCCUACUUUCAGUAGGAGCACACACAAGGCACUAUUCAGCAGCAGGGGGACCCAGAUGCACCAAGGCAGUACGAUUCUUUUAGGGACAACUCUCCUCAUAAGAAAGAUUUAUUUUUUUAAUUAAGCAGAUAUCUGUCUCCUGGCAUCUUGACUCUUUCAUUGUGACCGUACUUGGUGAGAAGACCUGGAAGAAGUCCAAUGUCUUCUCCAUCACAUCCCUUCACCUGUUUGAAUACAGUGAGUGUAUCAUCCUGUGUCUUCCCUCUCAGACCACGUACCCUUGAACACUUCCUCCCAUGGCCCAGUAUCCUGGCCCUCCCUCCACCUGCUGAUCCCUGCUGGUGGCUCCAGUUACCAGGGACCCUUAAAUCUGGACGCCUGGGACUGAACUCAGGGUCUGGGAAGUCUGAACAACAGCAUUCAGCAGGACUGUUAGCCCUUUCCAGAUACCACAUGUCCAGAAGCCUUACCCUUUCCCCUGGUUUUAUGGAGGUACAAUUGAGGGAAAGCAUUAUACAAGUUCAAGACAUAGAGUAUCAUGAUUUGGUCUCUGCCGAUAUUGAGAAAUGAUUAGCACAGCGAGUUAACAUCCCUCACCUCACCUAGUUAUAAAUUUUAUCUUGUGAUGAGAUCUUUUAAGAUCUAGUUUCUUCACUUGCAAAUACACAAUACAGUAUCGUUAACCCUAUUCACCAUGCUGUAUGUUACAUCCCUAGAAUUUAUUCAUCUUAUAACUGGGAUUUUGUACUUACCAUCUUCUUCACCCCACCCUCUGCCUCUGGCAACCACCAAUCUGAUCCGUUGCUAUGAGUUUGUCUUUGUUUUUGUUUUAGUUUCCACAUAUAAGUCUUUGCCUUUCUAGGUCUGACUGAUUCCACUUAGCAUAAUGCCCUCAAGGUCCAUCAUGUUGUUGCAAAUGAUGGGAUUUCCUCCUUUUUUUAUGGCUGAAGAGUAUUUUAAGUAGCCUUAUCUUGACUCCUUUCUUACAGCAGCUGUACCAUAAGAGCACCGCACAUUGAACUUCUGGUUGACUAAGAAAUUAGACCUUUUUACAGGCUGACUGCUCUCGAGCCUCCUUCCCAUUCUAACCUUCUGAAGUUGGUGUUUAGAAUUCAUUAUACGUACUACCUUAGCGCAGACCUAAUUCUGGCUUAUUCUUUACAAGCCUGUUGAUACUUUGGGGUCCUGACUCCUCCCUUACAUACAUGGUGGAGAGAAUGUGGACUUACCACUAGAACACAGAUUAAGUCCCAAUGCUGUCACCCAUCAGCCGAACUUCGUUUCCUCCCUUGUAAAAUGAAGGGGGUAAUGAUACCCAAUUAACCAAGCCCAGAUUAUUUAACAGGUGGUUUACUGAGAUGCAGAGCAUACAAAACGGACAUGAAAAUCUAUUUAGACCGUGAACUACUAUAGAGAAUUUUACGUUUGCCACCCAUCCCGUUUUCGGGUCACCUGCACACAUAGGCAAGUUUUUGUCAAAAAUCUUAUCCAAGUCAUUAAUUAGGAUGUAGAACAAUUCCAGGCCAAGAAUAGAUACCAAUCCAUUCGUAUCUUGAUUUGAUAGUACUCUCCAUUUUCAAUACAUUUCUUCAGCUCGGCCUCGAUGAGAUUAUAAGACCUUGUUAAAUACCUUGUUGAAAUCCAGAUAUGCCCACAACAUUUUGCAUGUACUUACACUUGCCCUUGUCCAAGAAAGUAAUGAGAAUAUUUGGAAGUGCAUGUUCUUAGGAAAUCCAUCUUGAUUUCAAAGGAUCCCUACACCCCCUCUUAUUAUUGCAAAGCUCCCCUUACAGUAAUCUGGAUGUUUGCCUGUGAUUCGUCAUAAAGCUCCCUGAUGUAUGGUUAUAGACAUCAUCUUCUGUCUAUGUUUUUGGUUUCUAGUCAUCACAUUUUUCAUUCUUUUUCUUUUCUAACUUUCAAAGAAUACAGAACGGAAUUUAAGCAAAUAAAUUCUCAAGGCUACUUAAUUCCUUAAAUUGAAUAGCAAACCUCAUACUACACUGAAAAAAGACAAGUGCAAAGUUACCCCAUAUAAAUUAUACCACGUCCUUAAGCAACCGUGAGAGAUAGCUCAGAUAUUAAUGUCACGCGUAGCGAGGAACGGUCUUAACUUAGCGUUGUCCAAGAUUGCCAUGUCUGAAGACGAUAUGUACAGACUCAAGUGUGAUUCCUUAGAUUCCAAAUUCAGCACUGCCUCUAAGGGAAGAAGUAACCAGCCCGUCGUUGGUUUAUUUUUCUAACAGUUCUACCUAAUUUACUAUAAAGCACUGGCUGGACAAACACUAUUCCUUUAUUUCUAUCAUUUUUUAGAAUGGGAGUCUGCAAACCUUUUCUGCAAAGAACCAGAUAUUAAGACUUCAGGCUUUGCGGACCUUAUGAUCUGUUGCAACUACUUAAUCCUGCUUUCAUAGCACGAAAGUAGCCCAUAGACAACAUGUACAUGAAGGGUUUGGCUGUGUCCCAGUAAAACUUUAUUUACAGAAACAGAGGGCCAUUGUUUGAUGCUGUGACACCUCUUUUAGAACUUGAAUUCAUUUAGAAAUAAAACUUUGCAACAUAGAUUGGGCUUCUUUGUGAAAGUGGUUAUGUUAAGAAAAUCCAUUGGGGGGGGGUGGGUUUGGGUGGCUCAUUUGGUUGAGCACCCGAUUCUUGAUUUUGGCUCAGGUCAUGAUCUCAUGGUUGGUGAGAUUGAGGAUUCCCUCUCCCCUUCUCUGGCUCUCCCCCACUUGUGUUCUCUUGAUGUGCCCCGAUUCGAGAGACCCCCCGAAAACAAACCACCAGAGUCCAGAGUCAAAGCCAAGCGGCAAGGGUCGUUUAUUGCAGGUUCGAACCCGGUCCUCCGCGCACUCGUCACCGGUGACACAAGAGGCCCCGAGCAAGGAUCUUACAGCUUCUUUUAUAGACAGGCACAAACAAGUUAGGGAUUUUUUUUGAGGUUACAGAGUUGUUAUAGGCUGACAUUUAAAUUUGAACGCUCAGCAGAACUUGUUUGGUUCCCGCCUUUAUUUCAAACCACUCAGCAGAACUUGAUUGGUUCCCGCCUUUAGGUCAGACUACAACCGGGCACACCCUGGCUGGUUUCUUCCGGAAUGGCGGGGGGAGGGGAAAGAUCUUUUCUUUGCAGUUGUGAGUACACCUGGUAAUUUUUCUCUUAGCCUCUCACUCUCUCAAAAUAUUAAACAUUUCUUAAAAAUUGAUGAGGGAAAAGGGUUAUAUUGGUCCUUUAACCUAAACCAUUACAGUUUGAAACUAGAAGAAGUCAAAAAGGAACCUCCCCAACCUGCCUCCCCUCCCCCC